Molecule: ribosomal RNA, 253 nt
Filed under: uncultured bacterium
Lineage: Bacteria
Description: partial 16S ribosomal RNA
Rfam family: Bacterial small subunit ribosomal RNA
Source: RNAcentral
UACAGAGGUCUCAAGCGUUGUUCGGAUUCAUUGGGCGUAAAGGGUGCGUAGGUGGCGCUGUAAGUCGGGUGUGAAAUUUCGGAGCUUAACUCCGAAACUGCAUUCGAUACUGCGGUGCUUGAGGACUGGAGAGGAGACUGGAAUUCAUGGUGUAGCAGUGAAAUGCGUAGAUAUCUGGAGGAAUACCGGUGGCGAAGGCGGCAUCCUGGACCGGCAUUGACGCUGAGGAGCGAAAGCCAGGGGAGCAAACGGG